Molecule: long non-coding RNA, 167 nt
Organism: Amblyraja radiata (thorny skate)
Lineage: Eukaryota; Metazoa; Chordata; Chondrichthyes; Rajiformes; Rajidae
Exons: 3
Source: RefSeq, a predicted model, not a curated record
UACGUGAACAAAAUACUGUAUGUGGUAUGUACCUUUGUUAGGUUCCUAAAUAUGGGCUCAACAAAUUGAUAUGUUAUUUGUGUCCCCAUCAUGACCCCCCGGCAAAGCCCCAAACGUCCCCCAGGUUAAUAACCACUGGUCUAUUGGCUCGUGCAGUAAUAUUUUGU